This 481-nucleotide ribosomal RNA is filed under the name uncultured bacterium. RNAcentral describes it as "partial 16S ribosomal RNA". It matches the Rfam family "Bacterial small subunit ribosomal RNA", at positions 355 to 852 of the family's 1533-position model. The record is from RNAcentral.
UGGGGAAUAUUGCACAAUGGGCGAAAGCCUGAUGCAGCAACGCCGCGUGAGUGAUGAAGGUCUUCGGAUUGUAAAGCUCUGUCUUUUGGGACGAUAAUGACGGUACCAAAGGAGGAAGCCACGGCUAACUACGUGCCAGCAGCCGCGGUAAUACGUAGGUGGCGAGCGUUGUCCGGAUUUACUGGGCGUAAAGGGUGCGUAGGCGGAUGUUUAAGUGAGAUGUGAAAUACCCGGGCUUAACUUGGGUGCUGCAUUUCAAACUGGAUAUCUAGAGUGCAGGAGAGGAGAAUGGAAUUCCUAGUGUAGCGGUGAAAUGCGUAGAGAUUAGGAAGAACACCAGUGGCGAAGGCGAUUCUCUGGACUGUAACUGACGCUGAGGCGCGAAAGCGUGGGUAGCAAACAGGAUUAGAUACCCUGGUAGUCCACGCCGUAAACGAUGAGUACUAGGUGUAGGAGGUAUCGACCCCUUCUGUGCCGCAGU